RNAcentral lists this ribosomal RNA (500 nucleotides) under uncultured bacterium. RNAcentral describes it as "partial 16S ribosomal RNA". It matches the Rfam family "Bacterial small subunit ribosomal RNA", at positions 30 to 523 of the family's 1533-position model. The record is from RNAcentral.
AUUGAACGCUGGCGGCAUGCCUUACACAUGCAAGUCGAACGGCAGCACGGGAGCAAUCCUGGUGGCGAGUGGCGAACGGGUGAGUAAUGUAUCGGAACGUGCCCAAUCGUGGGGGAUAACGUAGCGAAAGUUACGCUAAUACCGCAUACGAUCUACGGAUGAAAGCAGGGGAUCGCAAGACCUUGCGCGAUUGGAGCGGCUGAUAUCAGAUUAGGUAGUUGGUGGGGUAAAAGCUUACCAAGCCUACGAUCUGUAGCUGGUCUGAGAGGACGACCAGCCACACUGGGACUGGGACACGGCCCAGACUCCUACGGGAGGCAGCAGUGGGGAAUUUUGGACAAUGGGCGCAAGCCUGAUCCAGCCAUGCCGCGUGCAGGAUGAAGGCCUUCGGGUUGUAAACUGCUUUUGUACGGAACGAAACGGCCUUUUCUAAUACAGAGGGCUAAUGACGGUACCGUAAGAAUAAGCACCGGCUAACUACGUGCCAGCCGCCGCCGUAA